CCUACGUGGUGCAGCAGUGGGGAAUAUUGCACAAUGGGGGGAACCCUGAUGCAGCAACGCCGCGUGAAGGAAGACGGUUUUCGGAUUGUACACUUCUAUCAAUAGGGAAGAAAGACAUGACGAUACCUAAAUAAGAAGCCCCGGCUACCUUCGUGCCAGCAGCCACGGUAAUACGUAGGGGGCAAGUGUUAUCCGGAAUUACUGGGUGGAAAGGUGGAGUAGGCGGCGAGGUAGGCGCUAUGUGAACGCCUUAGGCUUAACCUGAGGAUUGCAUAAAGAACUAUCUAGCUAGAGUACAGGAGAGGAAAGCGGAAUUCCUAGUGUAGCGGUGAAAUGCGUAGAUAUUAGGAAGAACACCAGUGGCGAAGGCGGCUUUCUGGACUGAAACUGACGCUGAGGCUCGAAAGCGUGGGGAGCGAACAGGAUUAGAUACCCUUGUAGUC
This 443-nucleotide ribosomal RNA is filed under the name uncultured bacterium. RNAcentral's name for it is "partial 16S ribosomal RNA". It matches the Rfam family "Bacterial small subunit ribosomal RNA", at positions 338 to 795 of the family's 1533-position model. The record is from RNAcentral.